AAACCAACAGGGAUUGCCCCAGUAACGGCGAGUGAAGCGGCAACAGCUCAAAUUUGAAAUCUGGCUCUCGGGCCCGAGUUGUAAUUUGUAGAGGAUGCUUUUGGUGAGGUGCCUUCCGAGUUCCCUGGAACGGGACGCCAUAGAGGGUGAGAGCCCCGUCUGGUUGGACACCGAUCCUCUGUAAAGCUCCUUCGACGAGUCGAGUAGUUUGGGAAUGCUGCUCUAAAUGGGAGGUAUAUGUCUUCUAAAGCUAAAUACCGGCCAGAGACCGAUAGCGCACAAGUAGAGUGAUCGAAAGAUGAAAAGAACUUUGAAAAGAGAGUUAAACAGUACGUGAAAUUGUUGAAAGGGAAGCGCUUGUGACCAGACUUGGGCUUGGUUGAUCAUCCGGGGUUCUCCCCGGUGCACUCUUCCGGCUCAGGCCAGCAUCAGUUCGCCCUGGGGGACAAAGGCUUCGGGAAUGUGGCUCUCUCCGGGGAGUGUUAUAGCCCGUUGCGUAAUACCCUGUGGCGGACUGAGGUUCGCGCAUUCGCAAGGAUGCUGGCGUAAUGGUCAUCAGUGAC
This 563-nucleotide ribosomal RNA is filed under the name Fusarium sp. T4519-5-2. RNAcentral's name for it is "eukaryotic LSU rRNA". It matches the Rfam family "Eukaryotic large subunit ribosomal RNA", at positions 62 to 648 of the family's 3401-position model. Lineage: Eukaryota; Fungi; Ascomycota; Sordariomycetes; Hypocreales; Nectriaceae. RNAcentral also lists the same sequence under 6 other names. The record is from RNAcentral.